RNAcentral lists this ribosomal RNA (472 nucleotides) under uncultured bacterium. RNAcentral's name for it is "partial 16S ribosomal RNA". It matches the Rfam family "Bacterial small subunit ribosomal RNA", at positions 28 to 507 of the family's 1533-position model. The record is from RNAcentral.
GACGAACGCUGGCGGCGUGCUUAACUCAUGCAAGUCGAACGCUGAAGCUUGGUGCUUGCUCUGGGUGGAUGAGUGGUGAACGGGUGAGUAAUACGUGAGUAACCUGCCCUUGAUUCUGGGAUAAGCCUGGGACACUGGGUCUAAUACUGGAUACGACAUGUCACCGCAUGGUGGUGUGUGGAAAGGGUUUUACUGGUUUUGGAUGGGCUCACGGCCUAUCAGCUUGUUGGUGGGGUAAUGGCUCACCAAGGCGACGACGGGUAGCCGGCCUGAGAGGGUGACCGGCCACACUGGGACUGAGACACAGCCCAGACUACUACGGGAGGCAGCAGUGGGGAAUAUUGCACAAUGGGCGGAAGCCUGAUGCAGCGACGCCGCGUGAGGGAUGACGGCCUUCGGGUUGUAAACCUCUUUCAGCACGGAAGAAGCGAAAGUGACGGUACGUGCAGAAGAAGCGCCGGCUAGCUACGUA